GACGAACGCUGGCGGCGUGCUUAACACAUGCAAGUCGAGCGGUAAGGCCCUUUCGGGGGUACACGAGCGGCGAACGGGUGAGUAACACGUGGGUGACCUGCCCUUAGCUCUGGGAUAAGCCUGGGAAACUGGGUCUAAUACCGGAUAUGACUCCAUGACGCAUGUUGUGGGGUGGAAAGCCUUGUGCGGCUAGGGGAUGGGCCCGCGGCCUACCAGCUUGUUGGUGGGGUGAUGGCCACCAAGGCGACGACGGGUAGCCGGCCUGAGAGGGCGACCGGCCACACUGGGACUGAGACACGGCCCAGACUCCUACGGGAGGCAGCAGUGGGGAAUCUUGCGCAAUGGGCGAAAGCCUGACGCAGCGACGCCGCGUGGGGAUGACGGCCU
Molecule: ribosomal RNA, 387 nt
Filed under: uncultured bacterium
Lineage: Bacteria
Description: bacterial SSU rRNA
Rfam family: Bacterial small subunit ribosomal RNA
Source: RNAcentral